This 195-nucleotide unclassified non-coding RNA is filed under the name rhizosphere metagenome. RNAcentral describes it as "partial ribosomal RNA internal transcribed spacer region". The record is from RNAcentral.
GUAGGUGAACCUGCGGAAGGAUCAUUAACAUAAUCCGCGUCUGCUCGCAAGAGCGACGCAUUAACCUUUGUGAAGAGGGUUGACUGUGGUCAACUUACUUUUGCACUUUGCAAAAGGACAUUAACAUUUAAAAAGAGACUGAAUUCAAAAAAGUAUAAAUGAAAACAACUUUUAACAAUGGAUCUCUAGGCUCUU